Molecule: ribosomal RNA, 445 nt
Filed under: uncultured bacterium
Lineage: Bacteria
Description: partial 16S ribosomal RNA
Rfam family: Bacterial small subunit ribosomal RNA
Source: RNAcentral
GUGGGGAAUAUUGGACAAUGGGCGCAAGCCUGAUCCAGCCAUGCCGCGUGAAGGAUUAAGGUCCUCUGGAUUGUAAACUUCUUUUAUAAGGGACGAAAAAAGGCUUUUCUAAGUCGUCUGACGGUACCUUAUGAAUAAGCACCGGCUAACUCCGUGCCAGCAGCCGCGGUAAUACGGAGGGUGCAAGCGUUAUCCGGAUUCACUGGGUUUAAAGGGUGCGUAGGCGGGCAGGUAAGUCAGUGGUGAAAUCCUAGAGCUUAACUCUAGAACUGCCAUUGAUACUAUCUGUCUUGAAUAUUGUGGAGGUAAGCGGAAUAUGUCAUGUAGCGGUGAAAUGCUUAGAUAUGACAUAGAACACCUAUUGCGAAGGCAGCUUACUACGCAUAUAUUGACGCUGAGGCACGAAAGCGUGGGGAUCAAACAGGAUUAGAAACCCUUGUAGUCC